UACAAAGUAGUAUACUAAAAGUACGUAGGGUUUUGGGCCCUAAAGUGGAAGGAGGCUCUUUCCUUUGUAG
This 70-nucleotide transfer RNA is filed under the name Fissurella volcano. Its description in RNAcentral is "tRNA-Gln". The record is from RNAcentral. Lineage: Eukaryota; Metazoa; Mollusca; Gastropoda; Lepetellida; Fissurellidae.